GAUAAAUCUUCACCCUUGAUAGAUGUCCCGUUAGUCAGGCCAUACGCCUCUGGAAGUCGUUCGUGCCAAGAACUUAAAACUGGCAAGGGAUGGCCCUCGGUGGUGAAAAUGUAGUUUUGGCCGACCAGAAAUGUGUCGUCAAAUAAAAGAUAUAAAUAUUUGCACGUUUCAGAGAGGAAAAAACUAUGUUGGUGAUCUUCCAACUGCAUAGUGGUAACAUCUCUAACACUUGCAAACCCUCCUUCAACUUUAGUGUAUAAGAUAAGAGACUUCAUGAUUGAUUCACCCACUUCAAAGUACCAUGGAUCUCUGGUUGCUUGAUAUAAGUAAAAAGUUGACUCUGCCAAUUCUGGACGGAGAGGAUAAUAUUUUUCUGUAGGAUGCAGCAUUUGGUGGUCAAGUAAAUACCUUUCCGGUAGAACUCCAUAUUUCUCCCAUACAUGAAAGAACUCACGGUGUGAUGAAUUAGCUGCCGGAAUAUCCCCA
This 486-nucleotide unclassified non-coding RNA is filed under the name Hevea brasiliensis (rubber tree). Lineage: Eukaryota; Viridiplantae; Streptophyta; Magnoliopsida; Malpighiales; Euphorbiaceae. The record is from RNAcentral.